CCCAUGCUUUUUAUGUACCCUGACCAUCUUUUGCUCUUUUUCCUCUCUCUCUAUAUGCUUACAAUCUAUGCUUUCCUUUUUACUUUCUCUUUUUGUGCACAGUCCACCCUUGUGUAUGUCUUAUGGCAUUUGUUUGUCUGCCACCUUUUUUUUCCUUCUAAUUUCCUGUGUCCAUUCUCAUAUUUCUCUACCAUUUCUCUUCCUUUACUUUUUAUAUUUGCUCACAUCUUUCUUUUUACCAUCUUUUCCCUUGCGGCUAUCUCACGAUGGGUUAGCACUCCAUCUUUUGUAAGACAGGCCGGCAGCAAGCUGAAAUUCAAAUAAGUCCCACACUGAUUCCUCUAUUUUGUUCCAUCUUCCUGUGUGGUUUUUUUUUGCCUGUCCUCAACAGAACAGUUUAGCAGCAGAAAGUCUAGACCGUCAGGUAGAAUUGUUAGUCAGGCAAACAGCGAGGGAUAGGAUACUCAGUUUUCUUAUUUCAACGAUAGAGUAACUAGAA
Non-coding RNA from Pelobates cultripes (western spadefoot toad), 499 nucleotides. The record is from the annotation of a GenBank genome assembly. NCBI's taxonomy places the organism in Eukaryota, Metazoa, Chordata, Amphibia, Anura, Pelobatidae.